RNAcentral lists this unclassified non-coding RNA (1883 nucleotides) under Hevea brasiliensis (rubber tree). The record is from RNAcentral. Lineage: Eukaryota; Viridiplantae; Streptophyta; Magnoliopsida; Malpighiales; Euphorbiaceae.
CUCAAACCCUAGAUUGGACCUUUGCAGUUACGCAGCCGAGGACACUAGAAAUUUCCCCCUCGCAGAUCUCAUAAGAUAAAACGAUGUCGGUUGGAGAGGUUGCUUGCACUUACGCUGCUUUGAUUCUCCAUGAUGAUGGUAUUCCCGUCACUGUAUCCUUGAAAACCUAGGCUAUUCAAUUAAGUCUAACUUUUUUAUAAGUUAGGUCUAGUGAUUCUAAGAUUCAGCAUUGACUUUUUUUCCCUUUGGCUUCAAUUAUUUAGUUUGAUUCAUAUUUUGACCUAUAUGGUUUGAAUCUGAAUUUGUAUUAGGGAGUUGUGUAUUCCUUUUCUCUCUUUCCUUUGGGUAUACCAUUGGCUAUUGGGUGGUUAUUUGGUUUUUUGGUUGCUGAGAAACUAGAGUUAACCAAAAGGGUUGUUUGCAUCUCAUUUAACACAUUGACAGUGAAGUUAACAAUUUUCCUCUGGGAUAAAUAUAUUAUAUUAUGUUGGUGGAUUUUUUUUUUCCUGUAACUUUUGUUAAAAGGCAGAGAAGAUCGCACUGUUGGUCAAAGCAGCCAAUAUAACAGUCGAAUCUUACUGGCCAAGCUUGUUUGCCAAGCUAUUGGAGAAGCGUAAUGUUGAUGAUCUCAUCUUGAAUGUUGGCUCUGGUGGUGGUGGUGCUCCAGUCGCUGCUGCAGCCCCUGCUGGUGGUGGUGGUGGUGGUGCGGCUGCAGCUGCAGCUCCUGCAGCCGAAGAGAAGAAGAAGGAAGAACCUGAGGAGGAGAGUGAUGACGACAUGGGAUUCAGCUUGUUUGAUUAGGAGCUCUUUUCAGUUUGCCAAAGUCCUAUGUUGGUCUUAGUCUUAGUAGUUCAACAAUAGUUUCAUUUUGGAUCUUUUGGCUAUUCAGGUGUUGGUAUAAAUACUCCUAUUUCAUAAAAGUAGUGUCUGGGAAUAUAUUUUUUUUGAACAUUAUUUGCUUAAGCCUCAAGAUAUAUGAAUUUUGAGUUAAUUGAAUUAUGAAUUGAGUUAUUGAUUCAUGAAUUGAUUUGUUUUAAAUGGUGCAAUGGAUUUAAAGUUUAUAUUGCCUCUGCUUAAUGAUUGGAUAUGGAUGUAGAAUCUGGUUUCUGCUUUGUUGCAUGAUAUUAUGGUUCUUGAUGUUUAGUAGAUUGACAUCGAAAUUUUUGUUGGUGCACUUGUAUGAGCAUUGUAUAUCAGAUGGUAGUCCUUGGGAAAAUAAUGAUACUAAUUUAUUGACUCCUAUGAGAAUUGAUAUUCUGGCAAACUUUGUUUCAAUUAUAGGACGUGCAGGCAGAUGACAUUUCAGAAAUUUUUUUGGAAAUUGUAAUCCAUGUAUUAGAAUUGCACAGGUUUGUUUCUAGGUGUUUUGUGAAUUGUCAUUACCCUCAUGAACGCUUUCUUGUUCACCAGCAGUAUUUUAUAGCCAAGAGUUAUGGGGGCUUCUGGGCUGCUGCAUAUUCUUAUAACAUACAAUGCUAUUGCGGUAUAUAUAACACUGAAUUGGGUGUUACUGGAGUCUAUUUGUAUUGAUAAAAAGCCGCUUGCUACUAUUAGAAACUGUAACGAAGUUGAUUAAGAAAUAUGUAGUUUAAUGCAUAUGCUAGUAUUGUGCCUUUUUCUUUUGUUUAAGCUAGAAAUUUUCUUUUGUUAUGAAUGAAAAUUUAUUACGAAUUUUAAGUUGUUGAACUCCUUUAGCAAUAAAGUGCCGUCUCGAUGCUACGCGUUGAUGGUGAGGGGGAAAUGGGAUUUGGUAUCAAAGAAAAUAAUUGGUCGGAACAAGGGGAUUUCUGAAAUUCAUUUGUAAUAUCUUUUUCAUUUGGUAUGUAUUAUCCAUCAUAUGUUUGUAAGUCUUAAAAAGAUUCGAAAGGAGUCUUCGGUAUUUU